This 1316-nucleotide ribosomal RNA is filed under the name metagenome. Its description in RNAcentral is "bacterial SSU rRNA". It matches the Rfam family "Bacterial small subunit ribosomal RNA", at positions 8 to 1326 of the family's 1533-position model. The record is from RNAcentral.
AGAGUUUGAUCCUGGCUCAGGAUGAACGCUAGCGGCAGGCCUAACACAUGCAAGUCGAGGGGUAAUCCCGCUUUCGGGCGGGAACGACCGGCGCACGGGUGAGUAACGCGUAUGCAACCUACCUUUAACUGGGGGAUAGCCCGAAGAAAUUCGGAUUAAUACCCCAUAUAACUAUAGAUAAGCAUUUAUUUAUAUUAAAAACUCCGGUGGUUAAAGAUGGGCAUGCGUAACAUUAGUUAGUUGGUGAGGUAACGGCUCACCAAGACUACGAUGUUUAGGGGGCCUGAGAGGGUGGUCCCCCACACUGGUACUGAGACACGGACCAGACUCCUACGGGAGGCAGCAGUGAGGAAUAUUGCGCAAUGGAGGCAACUCUGACGCAGCCAUGCCGCGUGCAGGAUGACGGCCCUACGGGUUGUAAACUGCUUUUAUACAGGAAGAACUUUCCGCACGUGUGCGGGAUUGACGGUACUGUACGAAUAAGCACCGGCUAACUCCGUGCCAGCAGCCGCGGUAAUACGGAGGGUGCAAGCGUUAUCCGGAUUUAUUGGGUUUAAAGGGUGCGUAGGCGGGAUAAUAAGUCAGUGGUGAAAUACUGCAGCUCAACUGUAGAACUGCCAUUGAUACUGUUAUUCUUGAGUUCGAUUGAGGUAGGCGGAAUGUGUAAUGUAGCGGUGAAAUGCUUAGAUAUUACACAGAACACCGAUUGCGUAGGCAGCUUACUAAGUCGACACUGACGCUGAGGCACGAAAGCGUGGGGAGCGAACAGGAUUAGAUACCCUGGUAGUCCACGCUGUAAACUAUGAUCACUAGCUGUUGGCGAUACAUCGAUCAGCGGCAAAGCGAAAGCAUUAAGUGAUCCACCUGGGGAGUACGGUCGCAAGAUUGAAACUCAAAGGAAUUGACGGGGGCCCGCACAAGCGGUGGAACAUGUGGUUUAAUUCGAUGAUACGCGAGGAACCUUACCUGGGCUUAAAUGCAGAUUGACGUUUCGGGAAACCGGAAUUCUCUUCGGAGCGAUUUGCAAGGUGCUGCAUGGUUGUCGUCAGCUCGUGCCGUGAGGUGUCGGGUUAAGUCCCAUAACGAGCGCAACCCCUAUCGUUAGUUGCCAGCGGAUAAUGCCGGGGACUCUAACGAAACUGCCGGUGUAAACCGAGAGGAAGGUGGGGAUGACGUCAAAUCAGCACGGCCCUUAUGUCCAGGGCUACACACGUGUUACAGUGGUCGGUACAGAGGGCAGCUACCUGGUGACAGGAUGCUAAUCUCGAAAGCCGGUCUUAGUUCGGAUCGAAGUCUGCAACUCGACUUCGUGAAGC